CUCCCCCUCCUUCUCCUUAUUUUUUUUUGGGGGGGGGGAAUUACAUUAUUUGAAGCUUGCUGGCAAGAUUGCUGAAGUGUGAGCAGUCAUGGACAGAAGAAACAUCUUGAGAGGGAAAAGAUAAUUGGAGCCUUUUGUGCGUAUGUGCCUGUGUGUGUCUGUGUCUUCGUGUAACAGAAUUGCUAUCCCCCUUGAUUUGAGCAUUAUUAUUUUUUUAAUAUUUACGAGUUGCACUGGAGGAGAUAAUGAAUCGAGGGAAGAACCCAGGUUGUCAUCAUCGGGGAAAGGCUGAGAAGCAAGACCUGGAUCACAAAAUGUCACCCUAGUGUCCAUGGAGAAGAACAUGUUGCGUGCUGUGUCCCACGUCUCUGGUCCUCCCCCACUCUCCAUCCUGAUUUUAAGCUGAGAUCUGUGGAGCUGAAGAGGCUUCCUUAAAACCUCACUCGCAGAAUUCCAAACCUACCCAAUCUCAAAUGGACCAAGAAGAAGAAAACUUCCAUUGAUGCAACUCAGCCUAAAAUAGCAUAAAAUGUUUCUUCAGUUGGCCAGGAGAUUGCUUAUGUUCCUGACAAUGGAGAGCUGGACAACUAGACCAGAGAUCAAAUUUGACUCCAACCAGUGUCAACUAUGGACCAGAUGCAGAAGAAAAGAAACCCUGCCCAUCCCUAGCUUAGAAGAAUAUCUAAGAGGAUGUCUAAGCCGUUUUGGAGAUGUCUCCUCUAUGUGAAAUUCUAUUGUGCUCACACUAGUCUAUGCAUGAUUAAAACGGCCCAUUGUUUUCCCAGUUGUUGCUCAGUGUGAUGAGAUAGGCAUUUUUGCCUGAUCUGUCCUAUUAUGAUUGAAGUGUUGGCAUUCAGUUUGAGUUCCUGCAAUUAUAGCCCCAUGUGAAAUAUCACCUUACCAGGUGUAACGGAGACAAGGACCUGGUGUUAAAAAAAUACAGAAUGAAUUAUCCUUUUUUCAGACUUUCACGAGGCAGAAAAUGCUGUAGCAGCACCUCUUGGAAGUCUAAAAGGUUUCCCAAUGGAAGCUUCCAAAUCGCCAGCCAACUUUCCAGAUGCAAUACCCUGGCUUUAUUGCACUGAAUGGGAAUUUUGCCACCAAGCUAAGCUUGUUGUUCUGAUAAAAAUCCAUAUUUUUAUACCGAGGACUGCCUAGAAACUGGCAUUUUAUCCCUUAAAAUAAUCCGGGGGAUCAUGAGAGUUCCUUCUACAGAGUGAAAAAUACUCACAGGAAGAUGUUUUCUAAAAGUAUUUCGCACAUAAAAAUAUUUCCAGAUAUGUAUACGCACUUAUCGAUAUAUAUAAUGCACCGACUAACACAUUUGCUGGGGAAAGUUUUACUGCACGAUCAAAGUCUUUCAAAAUUUAAAGGUAAAUGUCGAGCUGUCAAACUUGGACUGCUGCAUCUUUUUAAAAAUAGCUGUGUAACAGCACUGAUCGUUCUUUUUCAGAAGGCUACCCUGGUAUGGCCCCAACCUAAUAGGAACUGUGAAAGUUGCCUUUGUACAGAACAGGUGGUGAGGUGUGCCUGGCUCUCCACAUGUUGUCCAACUAAGGGUAUAUUGCAAAAACCUAGAUAACCACUAGAGGGUAUCAAUGAAACAAAGAACAUCCCAACUAACUGCUGCCAUCUGCUGGUCAUCUGGGGAUUUGUAACCCAGAUACAGUAGCUAACCCUACUGUAGGUAAAGGACAAUUCUUAGCAGCCCAGCCAGUUUUAUUAAGGAUGAAGAAUAUCUACCAUUCACUAUCAUUAAGAUGGUCACGGGGACUUUGUUCCAAUAUAAAAAACUGAACAUCCUCCAGGAAUCAAAAAUUUAUAGAAGCUAUACUUCAAGAUGAACUAGCUGAAAACUUCUCAAUAAGUAUUUUGCCUGAUAGUGUAAUUUCCAAUCUUUCUGGAUGAGUACAGUGUGUGUGUGUGAGAGAGAGAGAGGGGCUCUUUCUCUAUUUAAAAUUAGCACCUUUGGGAAGAUAUAGUAACCUGUAUUUUGGUUAUGACUAAUAAGAAGUUAUUGAUUCUUAUGAUACCAUCUGCUGUAAGGAACAGUUGGAGAAGAGCUCUCUGUACACUGAGAAAGAACAAGUCCCAUUAAAUCAAAUACAACUUACUUUAGAGUAAAUAUAUUCAUAAUAGCAAGAGAGCUAAUAAAACCAAUAUUUUGGGUGGCUAUAUCCUUCAACACAAUUCCAAAAGCAUAAUCUAUCAAAUAAAACGUGAGUGGGUUUUUUUUUCUUUUGGGAAACAAAAGAAAGUCCUCUUUCUCAUUUACUUGAAGGGCAGGUAGAGUAACAAGGGAAUACCAGAGAUUUGAACCCAUAGAAGGAAUGAGUCUCAAGAUUCUAAAGCCAUUCUUAUGAAGAGAUCAAAGGAUGCUUUGAACAGGUUAAUGUUUCUCUUUCCAGAAGUUAAUGUCUCUUAUCCAACCAGGGUCACUUUGGAUGGUGAGGGAGGCAUCAUAUAAAUCAAAUCAACAGAUUCCAUCAAUAAAUGGACCCUUCUCAUGCUGGACAUAAUCUCAUGCUAUAGAGCACUGCACACCAGAACAACUAGACACAAAAACAGUUUCCCCCCUUCCCCCAAACACCAUCACACUGCUUAACAACUAAUUCCCUCAACAGUGUCAAACUAUUCACUAAGUCUGCAUGACUAUUACUAUUAGUCUUCUCAUCAUUCCUAUCACCCAUCUCCUCCCACUUAUGACUGCAUGGCUGUAACUUUGUUGGUUGUAUCCUUAUGAUUUAUAUUUAUAUUGAUUGUUUCAUGAUUGCUUAUUUGUACCCUAUGACUGUCAUUAAGUGUAGUACCUUAUGAUUCUUGAUGAAUGUGUCUUGUCUUUUUAAGUACAC
Ahaetulla prasina is the source of this 2852-nucleotide long non-coding RNA. RefSeq lists it as uncharacterized. The record is from RefSeq and is a predicted model, not a curated record. NCBI's taxonomy places the organism in Eukaryota, Metazoa, Chordata, Lepidosauria, Squamata, Colubridae. The transcript is spliced from 4 exons.